GACGAACGCUGGCGGCGUGCUUAACACAUGCAAGUCGAACGGAAAGGCCCUGCUCUUGUUGGGCUCUCGAGAGGCGAACGGGGGAGUAACACGUGUGUAACAUGCACUUGUCUUUGGGAGAACUCCAGGAAACUGGGGCUCUUACCGGAGAGAAGAUCUUGCUGCAUGUGGUGCGUUGGAGAGUUACGGCGGUUGUGGAUGGACUCGCGGCUUAUCAGCUUGUUGGUGGGGUAGUGGCUGACCAAGGUUUUGACGGGUAGCCGGCCUGAGAGGGUGACCGGCCACAUUGGGACUGAGAUACGGCCCAGACUCCUACGGGAGGCAGCAGUGGGGAAUAUUGCACAAUGGGCGGAAGCCUGAUGCAGCAACGCCGCGUGCGGGAUGACGGCCUUCGGGUUGUAAACCGCUUUCGCCUGUGACGAAGCGUGAGUGACGGUAAUGGGUAAAGAAGCACCGGCUAACUACGUG
This 468-nucleotide ribosomal RNA is filed under the name uncultured bacterium. RNAcentral describes it as "partial 16S ribosomal RNA". It matches the Rfam family "Bacterial small subunit ribosomal RNA", at positions 28 to 507 of the family's 1533-position model. The record is from RNAcentral.